GAUUGAACGCUGGCGGCAGGCCUAACACAUGCAAGUCGAGCGGUAGCACAGAGAGCUUGCUCUCGGGUGACGAGCGGCGGACGGGUGAGUAAUGUCUGGGAAACUGCCUGAUGGAGGGGGAUAACUACUGGAAACGGUAGCUAAUACCGCAUAAUGUCGCAAGACCAAAGUGGGGGACCUUCGGGCCUCAUGCCAUCAGAUGUGCCCAGAUGGGAUUAGCUAGUAGGUGGGGUAACGGCUCACCUAGGCGACGAUCCCUAGCUGGUCUGAGAGGAUGACCAGCCACACUGGAACUGAGACACGGUCCAGACUCCUACGGGAGGCAGCAGUGGGGAAUAUUGCACAAUGGGCGCAAGCCUGAUGCAGCCAUGCCGCGUGUGUGAAGAAGGCCUUCGGGUUGUAAAGCACUUUCAGCGGGGAGGAAGGCGUUAAGGUUAAUAACCUUGGCGAUUGACGUUACCCGCAGAAGAAGCACCGGCUAACUCCGUGCCAGCAGCCGCGGUAAUACGGAGGGUGCAAGCGUUAAUCGGAAUUACUGGGCGUAAAGCGCACGCAGGCGGUCUGUCAAGUCGGAUGUGAAAUCCCCGGGCUCAACCUGGGAACUGCAUUCGAAACUGGCAGGCUAGAGUCUUGUAGAGGGGGGUAGAAUUCCAGGUGUAGCGGUGAAAUGCGUAGAGAUCUGGAGGAAUACCGGUGGCGAAGGCGGCCCCCUGGACAAAGACUGACGCUCAGGUGCGAAAGCGUGGGGAGCAAACAGGAUUAGAUACCCUGGUAGUCCACGCCGUAAACGAUGUCGAUUUGGAGGUUGUGCCCUUGAGGCGUGGCUUCCGGAGCUAACGCGUUAAAUCGACCGCCUGGGGAGUACGGCCGCAAGGUUAAAACUCAAAUGAAUUGACGGGGGCCCGCACAAGCGGUGGAGCAUGUGGUUUAAUUCGAUGCAACGCGAAGAACCUUACCUGGUCUUGACAUCCACAGAACUUUCCAGAGAUGGAUUGGUGCCUUCGGGAACUGUGAGACAGGUGCUGCAUGGCUGUCGUCAGCUCGUGUUGUGAAAUGUUGGGUUAAGUCCCGCAACGAGCGCAACCCUUAUCCUUUGUUGCCAGCGGUUCGGCCGGGAACUCAAAGGAGACUGCCAGUGAUAAACUGGAGGAAGGUGGGGAUGACGUCAAGUCAUCAUGGCCCUUACGACCAGGGCUACACACGUGCUACAAUGGCAUAUACAAAGAGAAGCGACCUCGCGAGAGCAAGCGGACCUCAUAAAGUAUGUCGUAGUCCGGAUUGGAGUCUGCAACUCGACUCCAUGAAGUCGGAAUCGCUAGUAAUCGUAGAUCAGAAUGCUACGGUGAAUACGUUCCCGGGCCUUGUACACACCGCCCGUCACACCAUGGGAGUGGGUUGCAAAAGAAGUAGGUAGCUUAACCUUCGGGAGNGGCGCUUACCACUUUGUGAUUCAUGANUGGGGUGAAGUCGUAACAAGG
RNAcentral lists this ribosomal RNA (1478 nucleotides) under uncultured bacterium. Its description in RNAcentral is "bacterial SSU rRNA". It matches the Rfam family "Bacterial small subunit ribosomal RNA". The record is from RNAcentral.